Molecule: ribosomal RNA, 468 nt
Filed under: uncultured bacterium
Lineage: Bacteria
Description: partial 16S ribosomal RNA
Rfam family: Bacterial small subunit ribosomal RNA
Source: RNAcentral
GACGAACGCUGGCGGCGUGCUUAACACAUGCAAGUCGAACGGAAAGGCCCUGCUUUUGUGGGGGGCUCGAGUGGCGAACGGGUGAGUAACACGUGAGUAACCUGCCCUUGACUUUGGGAUAACUUGAGGAAACUGGGGCUAAUACCGGAUAGGAGCUCCUGCUGCAUGGUGGGGGGUGGAAAGUUUCGGCGGUUGGGGAUGGACUCGCGGCUUAUCAGCUUGUUGGUGGGGUAGUGGCUUACCAAGGCUUUGACGGGUAGCCGGCCGGAGAGGGUGACCGGCCACAUUGGGACUGCGAUACGGCCCAGACUCCUACGGGAGGCAGCAGUGGGGAAUAUUGCACAAUGGGCGGAAGCCUGAUGCAGCAACGCCGCGUGCGGGAUGACGGCCUUCGGGUUGUAAACCGCUUUCGCCUGUGACGAAGCGUGAGUGACGGUAAUGGGUAAAGAAGCACCGGCUAACUACGUG